AGAGUUUGAUCCUGGCUCAGGAUGAACGCUGGCGGCAGGCUUAAUACAUGCAAGUCGAGGGGUAUCAUGGUAGCUUGCUCCAUGACGACCGGGAAACGGGUGCGCGUACGUACAGAACCUUCCUUUAUCGACUGAUAGCCCUUAGAAAUUUGGAUUACUACCCCCUAAUAUUUCUGUUCGUUAUCUCUUGAUAAUUUGAGAUUUAUCACUUACAGAUGGUUGUGCAUCUGAUUACGUAGCUGGUGCUAGUUACGGAUCACCAAGCCUUCGAUCAGUAACUGGUGUGAGAGACCGACCAGGCACACCGGCCCUGAGACACCUGACCGACUCCUACGACUCCUACGCAGAGGGGAAUAUUGGAAUCGGAGGCAACUCUGAACCAGCCAUGCCGCGUGAACGAUGAAGGUCCUCUGGAUUGCAAACUUCUUUUAUGUGGUAAGAAAUGCAUUUUUUUUAAAGUGUUUGACGAUCCCAUAUUGAAUAAGCACCGGCUAACUCCCUGCCAUCAGUCCCGGUCAUACGGAGGGUGCAUGCGUUAUACGGAUUCACUGGCCUUAAUGGUUGCGUAGGUGGGAAUGUAAGUCUGAGGUGAAAUCCCCAUGCUUAACCUGGAAACUGCCUUUGAUACUAUGUUUCUUGAAUUUUCUGGAGGAUAGCGGAAUAUGUCAUGUAGCGGUGAAAUGCUUAGAUAUGACAUAGAACACCAAUUGCGAAGGCAGCUAGCUACAGGGACAUUGACACUGAGGCGCGAAAGCGUGGGGAUCAAACAGGAUUAGAUACCCUGGUAGUCCACGCCCUAAACGAGGGAUACUCGACAUACGCGAUACACUGUGUGAGUCUGAGCGAAAGCCUUAUUAUCCCAGCUGGGAAGUACGACCGCAAGGUUGAAACUCAAAGGAAUUGAUUGGCGUCCACCCAAGCGGUGGAGCAUGAGUUUUAAUUCGAUGAUACGCGAGGAACCUUACCCGGGCUAGUAUGCCAUUGGACGAUGGGUGAAAGCUCACUUCCCCGCAAGGGGCCGGAGGAAGGCGCUGCAUUGCUGUCGUCAUGUCGUGCCGUGAGGUGUUGGGUUAAGUCCCGCAACGAGCGCAACCCCUAUCUAUAUUUCCCUUCAGGUAAAGCUGGGAACUCUAUUGAAGCGGCAGUCGUAAGACAGGAGGAAGGAGGGGAUGAUGACAAGUCAUCAUGGCCUUUAUGCCCGGGGCUACACACAUGCUACAAUGGGAAGUACAAAGAGCUGCCGCCUGGUGACAGGUCCCUAAUCUCAAAAACCUUCUUCAGUUCAGAUUGCAGGUUGCAACUCGCAAGCAUGAAUCUGGAAUAAUUAGUAAUCGUAGAUCAGCAACGAAUCGGUGAAUACGUUCCCGGCCCUUGCACACUCACACCGUCAAGCCAUGGAACCCGGGAGGUCCUAAAGGUGAUAACCGGUAAGGAGUCGCCUAGGGUAAAACUGGUAACUGGGGUUAAGUCGUAACAAGGUA
RNAcentral lists this ribosomal RNA (1481 nucleotides) under uncultured bacterium. RNAcentral describes it as "16S ribosomal RNA". It matches the Rfam family "Bacterial small subunit ribosomal RNA". The record is from RNAcentral.